UACGAAGGGGGCGAGCGUUGUUCGGAUUUACUGGGCGUAAAGGGCGCGCAGGCGGCUAUCCAAGUCAGGCGUGAAAGCCCCGGGCUUAACCUGGGAGGUGCGUCUGGGACUGGGUGGCUAGAGAUCGGGAGAGGAGAGUGGAAUUCCCAGUGUAGAGGUGAAAUUCGUAGAUAUUGGGAAGAACACCGGUGGCGAAGGCGGCUCUCUGGGCCGAUACUGACGCUGAGGCGCGAAAGCGUGGGGAGCAAACAGG
This 253-nucleotide ribosomal RNA is filed under the name uncultured bacterium. RNAcentral's name for it is "partial 16S ribosomal RNA". It matches the Rfam family "Bacterial small subunit ribosomal RNA", at positions 524 to 776 of the family's 1533-position model. The record is from RNAcentral.